GAGGUAAUGGCUCACCAAGGCGACGACGGGUAGCCGGCCUGAGAGGGCGACCGGCCACACUGGGACUGAGACACGGCCCAGACUCCUACGGGAGGCAGCAGUGGGGAAUAUUGGGCAAUGGAGGGAACUCUGACCCAGCGACGCCGCGUGCGGGAUGAAGGCCUUCGGGUUGUAAACCGCUUUCAGCAAGGAAGAAGCGAAAGUGACGGUACUUGCAGAGGAAGCACCGGCUAACUAUGUGCCAGCAGCCGCGGUAAUACAUAGGGUGCAAGCGUUGUCCGGAAUUAUUGGGCGUAAAGAGCUCGUAGGUGGUUCGUCAUGUCGGAUGUGAAAAUCUGGGGCUUAACCCCAGACCUGCAUCCGAUACGGGCGAGCUAGAGUGUGGUAGGGGAGACUGGAAUUCCUGGUGUAGCGGUGGAAUGCGCAGAUAUCAGGAGGAACACCAAUGGCGAAGGCAGGUCUCUGGGCCAUUACUGACACUGAGGAGCGAAAGCGUGGGGAGCGAACAGGAUUAGAUACCCUGGUAGUCCACGCCGUAAACGGUGGGCACUAGUUGUGGGAACCUUCCACGGUUUCUGCGACGCAGCUAACGCAUUAAGUGCCCCGCCUGGGGAG
RNAcentral lists this ribosomal RNA (615 nucleotides) under uncultured bacterium. RNAcentral describes it as "bacterial SSU rRNA". It matches the Rfam family "Bacterial small subunit ribosomal RNA", at positions 254 to 880 of the family's 1533-position model. The record is from RNAcentral.